Molecule: non-coding RNA, 632 nt
Organism: Paramuricea clavata
Lineage: Eukaryota; Metazoa; Cnidaria; Anthozoa; Malacalcyonacea; Plexauridae
Source: the annotation of a GenBank genome assembly
CCCACCAUGCAUAUUUACUCGGGCGAUUCCGAAUAUAAGCCACCUCUAAUGUAAGCCCCUCGACAGGUAUUUAUUAAUGCGUGUACAGUACAUGUAUCAGCCACCUUGGCAUUGACCAAAAUUAUGCCCUGACAAUUAAACAAUUUUAAAUUGAUUGAUGACAUGUUUGAGAGCAGCUUCAGUGGUGGUGUCCCCAGUAUUGGAGUAGAGCCCAACAUUUCAGUUAGACAUUAUUUGUGAACCUUAGAUCAGUUGUGAUAUAUUGUAAUGUAAAAUGAAACUUUGGGAGUUAAGAAACACAAUUAAUGCAUUAAUGGACAAGGCUGUCCCCUUGAGAAGUAAAAUUGCCUGCCAUUAGAUGGUCUGAAAGUAAAAUAACAAGCUUGGGUGCAUGGCAGCCUAAUGGGUUCACUUAAUACAUGUAGUUGGCUGCAAUUACCUGUUGUAGGCUUUAAAGUUGGUUUCAAACUAGGGCUUGUAAAUGCCAGAACUCAUAGGUGAAAAAUUGCACGAGUCAAUUUAUUUGACAUACCAUAAUGAACCCAUUAGGUUGCAUUGCAUCCUACUUUAUUAUGUUACUUUGUCUAAGUGUCUAACACUGACAAUUUUACUCGUCAACAGGAGAGUGCUGG